AGAAGCAGGGGACGUAAGGCCUUGCACUUUUGGAGCGGCCGAUGUCUGAUUAGCUAGUUGGUGGGGUAAGGGCCUACCAAGGCGACGAUCAGUAGUUGGUCUGAGGGGACGACCAGCCACACUGGGACUGAGACACGGCCCAGACUCCUACGGGAGGCAGCAGUGGGGAAUUUUGGACAAUGGGCGCAAGCCUGAUCCAGCAAUGCCGCGUGAGUGAAGAAGGCCUUCGGGUUGUAAAGCUCUUUCAGUCGAGAAGAAAAGGCUACGGUAAAUAAUCGUAGUUCAUGACGGUACCGACAGAAGAAGCACCGGCUAACUACGUGCCAGCAGCCGCGGUAAUACGUAGGGGGCGAGCGUUAAUCGGAAUUACUGGGCGUAAAGGGUGCGCAGGCGGCUUUGUAAGUCAGAUGUGAAAUCCCCGGGCUUAACCUGGGAAUUGCGUUUGAAACUACAAAGCUAGA
This 461-nucleotide ribosomal RNA is filed under the name uncultured beta proteobacterium. Its description in RNAcentral is "bacterial SSU rRNA". It matches the Rfam family "Bacterial small subunit ribosomal RNA", at positions 188 to 645 of the family's 1533-position model. Lineage: Bacteria; Pseudomonadati; Pseudomonadota; Betaproteobacteria. The record is from RNAcentral.